UAGGGAAUCUUCGGCAAUGGACGAAAGUCUGACCGAGCAACGCCGCGUGAGUGAAGAAGGUUUUCGGAUCGUAAAACUCUGUUGUUAGAGAAGAACAAGGACGUUAGUAACUGAACGUCCCCUGACGGUAUCUAACCAGAAAGCCACGGCUAACUACGUGCCAGCAGCCGCGGUAAUACGCAGGUGGCAAGCGUUGUCCGGAUUUAUUGGGCGUAAAGCGAGCGCAGGCGGUUUCUUAAGUCUGAUGUGAAAGCCCCCGGCUCAACCGGGGAGGGUCAUUGGAAACUGGGAGACUUGAGUGCAGAAGAGGAGAGUGGAAUUCCAUGUGUAGCGGUGAAAUGCGUAGAAAUAUGGAGGAACACCAGUGGCGAAGGCGGCUCUCUGGUCUGUAACUGACGCUGAGGCUCGAAAGCGUGGGGAGCAAACAGG
This 429-nucleotide ribosomal RNA is filed under the name Gemmatimonadota bacterium. RNAcentral describes it as "Gemmatimonadetes bacterium partial 16S ribosomal RNA". It matches the Rfam family "Bacterial small subunit ribosomal RNA", at positions 355 to 776 of the family's 1533-position model. The record is from RNAcentral. Lineage: Bacteria; Pseudomonadati; Gemmatimonadota.